GGAGUAAGGAUUAUUAUUUUAUGAUUUAGAAUUAGUAAAUUUACAAGGAAGAAUUUUAUUUUAUUAGCUUGUGCGAAUAAAGAAACAGGAAUAAUGAUAGAGGAAUAGUAUUGUGAGAGAACUUCUUAGGCUAUAGGAAAGAAAAAUUUAUUUUUUGUACCUUGGGUAUCAGGGUUUAUUAAUUAAUAUUUAUAGUUAAAGAUUUCUCGAAUUUAAAAGAGCUAUAAUUGAAUUUUUUUUAUUGUUAAAAAAAUAUUGGUAAUUCAGUUAUUGAAGUGAAAUGUUAUUCGGUUUUAAGUAUAUCUAGUUUUUUAAGAAAAAAGUUUAAUUUAGGUCUUGUUUUCUAUUGUUCUUCGUAGUUAGUGCUAUAGUAGUAAGGUCUUAUGUCUAGAGGGAUGAGCUUUUAGGCAGAGGUAUACAAUAUUUUUAGGAAAAAAUAUUAGGUAGGAUUGAAAGUUUUCAUCAGUAGUGUGUUAUUACAGAGUAUUUUCAGUUGGAAUUUAAGGUUUUAUUUAUGUGUGUAUUAAAAUGUGGAUUUAAGCGAGGUAAAUUCAGGAAAAAUGAUAAAAUUAGUAUAAUUGGAAGUAUAAGUAAAAAAGAAAGAGGAAAGGUCUUUUAAAGGAAUUAGGCAAAAUUAUCUCCCACCUGUUUAUUAAAAACAUGGCUUAUUGAUGUUGAUUUUAGGUCUGGCCUGCCCAAUGAAGAGUUAAAUGGCCGCGGUAUCUUGACCGUGCAAAGGUAGCAUAAUCAUUAGUUUUUUAAUUGAAAGCUUGUAUGAAGGGCUUGCUGAGGAGAUGACUGUCUCUAGAAGAAUUGAUUUGAAUUUUAUUUUUGAGUAAAAAAGCUUAAAUUUUAGUGGAAGACGAGAAGACCCUAUAGAGUUUUAUAUAUGAAUGUAUGGAAAGGACUUUGGGAUCAAAGUUUGUCUGUGCACUUAAGUAUUUUGUUGGGGUGAUGAGAAAAUUAAUUUAACUUUUCUUUAUUUAUAUACUAGUGUGUAAAUUUAUGAUCCUUAUGUAAAGAUUAAAAGGACAAAUUACCUUAGGGAUAACAGCGUUAUUUUUUUUAGAGUUCUUAUCGAAGAAAAAGAUUGCGACCUCGAUGUUGGAUUAAAAUUUAUUACUGGUGUAGGAGCUGGUACAUUAGGUCUGUUCGACCUUUAAAAUUUUACAUGAUCUGAGUUUAAACCGGUGUGAGCCAGGUUGGUUUCUAUCUCUAUUAAAGGGAAGUAUCUUAGUACGAAAGGACCGGAUAUUUAAUUGAAAAUUUAUAGUAGUUGAGUAGUAGUAA
RNAcentral lists this ribosomal RNA (1290 nucleotides) under Trigonopterus jasminae. RNAcentral's name for it is "16S ribosomal RNA". The stretch from base 542 to 1290 matches the Rfam family "Archaeal large subunit ribosomal RNA", at positions 1423 to 2820 of the family's 2987-position model. Lineage: Eukaryota; Metazoa; Arthropoda; Insecta; Coleoptera; Curculionidae. The record is from RNAcentral.